RNAcentral lists this ribosomal RNA (403 nucleotides) under uncultured bacterium. Its description in RNAcentral is "bacterial SSU rRNA". It matches the Rfam family "Bacterial small subunit ribosomal RNA", at positions 355 to 775 of the family's 1533-position model. The record is from RNAcentral.
UGGGGAAUAUUACACAAUGGAGGAAACUCUGAUGUAGCAACGCCGCGUGGAGGAUGACACAUUUCGGUGCGUAAACUCCUUUUAUAUGGGAAGAUAAUGACGGUACCAUAUGAAUAAGCACCGGCUAACUCCGUGCCAGCAGCCGCGGUAAUACGGAGGGUGCAAGCGUUACUCGGAAUCACUGGGCGUAAAGCGCGCGCAGGCGGUCUUUUAAGUUGGAUGUGAAAUCCUAUGGCUCAACCAUAGAACUGCAUCCAAAACUGAAAGACUAGAGUCUGGGAGGGGAAGAUGGAAUUAGUGGUGUAGGGGUAAAAUCCAUAGAGAUCACUAGGAAUACUAAAAGCGAAGGCGAUCUCCUGGAACAGUACUGACGCUGAGGCGCGAAAGCGUGGGGAGCAAACAG